This 582-nucleotide ribosomal RNA is filed under the name Escherichia coli. RNAcentral's name for it is "partial 23S ribosomal RNA". It matches the Rfam family "Bacterial large subunit ribosomal RNA", at positions 711 to 1290 of the family's 2925-position model. RNAcentral also lists the same sequence under 1 other name. The record is from RNAcentral. Lineage: Bacteria; Pseudomonadati; Pseudomonadota; Gammaproteobacteria; Enterobacterales; Enterobacteriaceae.
AGACCCGAAACCCGGUGAUCUAGCCAUGGGCAGGUUGAAGGUUGGGUAACACUAACUGGAGGACCGAACCGACUAAUGUUGAAAAAUUAGCGGAUGACUUGUGGCUGGGGGUGAAAGGCCAAUCAAACCGGGAGAUAGCUGGUUCUCCCCGAAAGCUAUUUAGGUAGCGCCUCGUGAAUUCAUCUCCGGGGGUAGAGCACUGUUUCGGCAAGGGGGUCAUCCCGACUUACCAACCCGAUGCAAACUGCGAAUACCGGAGAAUGUUAUCACGGGAGACACACGGCGGGUGCUAACGUCCGUCGUGAAGAGGGAAACAACCCAGACCGCCAGCUAAGGUCCCAAAGUCAUGGUUAAGUGGGAAACGAUGUGGGAAGGCCCAGACAGCCAGGAUGUUGGCUUAGAAGCAGCCAUCAUUUAAAGAAAGCGUAAUAGCUCACUGGUCGAGUCGGCCUGCGCGGAAGAUGUAACGGGGCUAAACCAUGCACCGAAGCUGCGGCAGCGACACUGUGUGUUGUUGGGUAGGGGAGCGUUCUGUAAGCCUGUGAAGGUGUGCUGUGAGGCAUGCUGGAGGUAUCAGAAGUG